RNAcentral lists this ribosomal RNA (253 nucleotides) under uncultured microorganism. RNAcentral describes it as "partial 16S ribosomal RNA". It matches the Rfam family "Bacterial small subunit ribosomal RNA", at positions 524 to 776 of the family's 1533-position model. The record is from RNAcentral.
UACGUAGGGUGCGAGCGUUAAUCGGAUUUACUGGGCGUAAAGCGUGCGCAGGCGGCCCGUUAAGACAGGUGUGAAAUCCCAGGGCUCAACCUAGGAAUUGCGCUUGUGACUGGCGGGCUCGAGUACGGUAGAGGGGGGUGGAAUUCCUGGUGUAGCAGUGAAAUGCGUAGAGAUCAGGAGGAACACCGAUGGCGAAGGCAGCGCCCUGGGCCUGUACUGACGCUCAUGCACGAAAGCGUGGGGAGCAAACAGG